UACGUAGGGACCAAGCGUUGUUCGGAUUUACUGGGCGUAAAGGGCGCGUAGGCGGCAAUUCAAGUCAGCUGUGAAAUCUCCGAGCUUAACUCGGAACGGUCAGCUGAUACUGUUUUGCUAGAGUGCAGAAAGGGCAACCGGAAUUCUUGGUGUAGCGGUGAAAUGCGCAGAUAUCAGGAGGAACACCGGUGGCGAAGGCGGCUUACUGGUCCGGAACUGACGCUGAGGUGCGAAAGCGUGGGGAGCAAACAGG
RNAcentral lists this ribosomal RNA (253 nucleotides) under uncultured bacterium. RNAcentral describes it as "partial 16S ribosomal RNA". It matches the Rfam family "Bacterial small subunit ribosomal RNA", at positions 524 to 776 of the family's 1533-position model. The record is from RNAcentral.